Molecule: ribosomal RNA, 165 nt
Filed under: Armillaria mellea
Lineage: Eukaryota; Fungi; Basidiomycota; Agaricomycetes; Agaricales; Physalacriaceae
Description: 5.8S ribosomal RNA
Rfam family: 5.8S ribosomal RNA
About the family: 5.8S ribosomal RNA (5.8S rRNA) is a component of the large subunit of the eukaryotic ribosome. It is transcribed by RNA polymerase I as part of the 45S precursor that also contains 18S and 28S rRNA.
Source: RNAcentral
CUUAUACAACUUUCAACAACGGAUCUCUUGGCUCUCGCAUCGAUGAAGAACGCAGCGAAAUGCGAUAACUAAUGUGAACUGCAGAAUUCAGUGAAUCAUCGAGUCUUUGAACGCACCUUGCGCCCUUUGGUAUUCCAAAGGGCAUGCCUGUUUGAGUGUCAUUAA